GCUGUCUGUUACUGAGGCGCCCCGUUCCCUGGAGGGCCUAGAUUCGUUAAAUAAAACGUGAGUCCGUGGAAGCUUCUCCGCAGCUGUCCGCCUCGUGAGAGGGGUUGUGGAAAACAAGGAUCUGUCCCCGUGCCUGAGAUGUGCCCUGAGACAUGGAAGGAGCUGCCUGCGGUGUGCUUAAAAAAAGACUGAGGAAAACCAAGGUGUCUGUGGCUGACAGGCAAAACUGUGCUGUCAGCACCGCGGCUUUGAUGCCAACACGACGGGUGUCACCCCCCGCACCUUUUGGCAGUGUGUAGCGGGCGGUAAUGAGUGCUCGGUAUAAGAAAUCGUUAAAUGUUGAGCUGUCUUGGAGUGGGAAGGGGAAAAUGAGGCCACAGAUACCGCACCUUGGCCUCAUUAACAAGAGAUCUGUCGUGGCUAAGGCGUUUCUGAUCUGUUUGAAAUUAUUCCUGCUCCACCAGGGUGUCUUUUUUGUGAUUAUUAAAUGGCCGCUCUGCACGGGUUUGGUGUGUUGGCAUUAAGCAGGAGAUGGAGGAUCCAGUUUUCCUUCCCAGGUUCCUGGGAGGAGCAGUGUUAGUCUCAGCGGUGAGCUCUGCACACGCCAUUGCUGGGACACCUCACCUCAAAUCCACCCCAGCCUACUUCAGGUGCUGUACAAAGAACCUUUCACUUCUCUGUGGCAGUGGCUGUGCUAAUCUGGGUACAUCACAGUUCUGCUGGCAUGCUCACCUCAUCCCUCGCUGUUCUGUCCUGGCCCCAUGCAGGUUGGAUGAUGCUGGGGCUGACCUUUAGCUGCAGGUUUUGCAGGUCGCUGUAGCUGCCUUUUCGGAAGGUGCAGUAGUUCCUCAGCGUGUCCCUCUUCUGACAGCAGGGGAAGAAAUAGCCUUGGUAUCACACCAGGAGGCAGAAGUUAGGUUAUGUGUUGAUACUAGCAAGGUGAUUGCUCUGGAUGCUUUUGUACAUAAGAGCUGGAUGGUUAAGUAGGGACAGCAGUUCUAGGCAAUAGCAGGGUGAAUACCUGGAAUAACACAGGAGACUGGAUGAACAAGUGGAUUAGGAUGGUCACACCACACUUGCAUUUCUUGCCUACCCUUGAGCUAACAUUUUUCAUGCUUCCAACAGCCACAACCCAAUGGGGGCUGCUGGGUGUCCAAAACAAAACAAACACGUCUCCUUCAUCCCGUUGCACAGCCCUGAGCCAGCUAUGUGACUAGGAGGUCUGCAAGGCAUCCCCUCCAACUGGCCCAUGUCUAAUGGAGAGCUCCUUGGUGUUCUAUGAAGUGCAAUGGCACAGUCAGAUGUGCUGCACUGCCUUGAGAUGCCAGGCUACCAGCCCCACUAGCAGU
Molecule: long non-coding RNA, 1349 nt
Organism: Gallus gallus (chicken)
Lineage: Eukaryota; Metazoa; Chordata; Aves; Galliformes; Phasianidae
Source: Ensembl